This 24-nucleotide non-coding RNA is filed under the name Arabidopsis thaliana (thale cress). Lineage: Eukaryota; Viridiplantae; Streptophyta; Magnoliopsida; Brassicales; Brassicaceae. The record is from RNAcentral.
GUACCGGCCAUGCUUCCACCGUCA